GUUGCUCUGGACUCCAGCCAUGCCGUGAGAACCAGCCCCGGCCAGUGUUCCAGAGGUGAAAGACCACGUGGAGCAGAACCACGUCAUUCUACUGGAGGUCAUCGAGGACCAGCCAGCCCCAGCCGACCCGCCAGCUGACGGCAGACAUGUGGUAAGCCCAGGUCUCAAGCCUGCCAGCUUUUGGACUGGAGUUCACACCAUCGGCUCUCCUGGGUCUUCCGCUUGCCAACUACAGACCUUGUUACUGCCCAGCUUCCAUAAUCAUGUGAGCCGAUUCCUCAUGGAUCCUCUUUAAGUCCCAAUCUGAAAAAAACCUGCUCAUAUCUGAAGCCAGACGACAAUCCCAUCAGUAAAAUGAGAGCGCCUUCAGUUUUGAGGACAUCCAGCAGCUCUUUGAUGCUGUUAAAAAGGAUUAAUCAUGCGCAACAACAUGGAUGGAGCUAGAGGGUAUUAUGCUCAGUGAAAUAAGCCAGGCGGAGAAAGACAAGUACCAAAUGAUUUCACUCAUACGUGGAGUAUAAGAACAAAAGAAAACUGAAGGAACA
This is a long non-coding RNA of Manis pentadactyla (Chinese pangolin), 545 nucleotides long. RefSeq lists it as uncharacterized. The transcript has 4 exons. The record is from RefSeq and is a predicted model, not a curated record. NCBI's taxonomy places the organism in Eukaryota, Metazoa, Chordata, Mammalia, Pholidota, Manidae.